This 554-nucleotide ribosomal RNA is filed under the name uncultured bacterium. Its description in RNAcentral is "bacterial SSU rRNA". It matches the Rfam family "Bacterial small subunit ribosomal RNA", at positions 345 to 899 of the family's 1533-position model. The record is from RNAcentral.
GAGGCAGCAGUAAGGAAUAUUGGGCAAUGGAGGAAACUCUGAUCCAGCCAUGCCGCGUGAAGGAUGACGGCCCUACGGGUUGUAAACUUCUUUUCUCAGGGAAGAAACCUCUGGAUUUAUCCGGAGCUGACGGUACCUGAGGAAUAAGCACCGGCUAACUCCGUGCCAGCAGCCGCGGUAAUACAGAGGGUGCAAGCGUUAUCCGGAUUCACUGGGUUUAAAGGGUGCGUAGGCGGAUUAGUAAGUCAGAGGUGAAAGCCCCGGGCUCAACCUGGGAAUUGCCUUUGAUACUGUUAGUCUUGAGUACAGUUGAGGUGGGCGGAAUGUGACGUGUAGCGGUGAAAUGCUUAGAUAUGUCACAGAACACCGAUUGCGAAGGCAGCUCACUAAACUGUUACUGACGCUGAGGCACGAAAGCGUGGGGAGCAAACAGGAUUAGAUACCCUGGUAGUCCACGCCCUAGACUAUGAUCACUCGACAUUUGCGAUAUACUGUAAGUGUCCUAGCGAAAGCGUUAAGUGAUCCACCUGGGGAGUACGUUCGCAAGAAUGAAA